RNAcentral lists this non-coding RNA (62 nucleotides) under Lentilactobacillus diolivorans. Its description in RNAcentral is "Lactobacillus diolivorans Fluoride sequence". It matches the Rfam family "Fluoride riboswitch aptamer (crcB RNA motif)". Lineage: Bacteria; Bacillati; Bacillota; Bacilli; Lactobacillales; Lactobacillaceae. The record is from RNAcentral.
AUUUAUAAACGCGAUGACGUUCGCGAAACAAUUAAUUUUAAUUUGAUGACGUCUACUGUAGG